This 253-nucleotide ribosomal RNA is filed under the name uncultured bacterium. RNAcentral describes it as "partial 16S ribosomal RNA". It matches the Rfam family "Bacterial small subunit ribosomal RNA", at positions 524 to 776 of the family's 1533-position model. The record is from RNAcentral.
UACGUAGGGUCCGAGCGUUGUCCGGAAUUAUUGGGCGUAAAGAGCUCGUAGGCGGUUUGUCACGUCUGCUGUGAAAUCCCGAGGCUCAACCUCGGGCCUGCAGUGGGUACGGGCAGACUGGAGUGCGGUAGGGGAGAAUGGAAUUCCUGGUGUAGCGGUGGAAUGCGCAGAUAUCAGGAGGAACACCGAUGGCGAAGGCAGUUCUCUGGGCCGUAACUGACGCUGAGGAGCGAAAGCGUGGGGAGCGAACAGG